AAAUUGAAGAGUUUGAUCAUGGCUCAGAUUGAACGCUGGCGGCAGGCCUAACACAUGCAAGUCGAACGGUAACAGGAAGCAGCUUGCUGCUUCGCUGACAAGUGGCGGACGGGUGAGUAAUGUCUGGGAAACUGCCUGAUGGAGGGGGAUAACUACUGGAAACGGUGGCUAAUACCGCAUGACGUCGCAAGACCAAAGAG
RNAcentral lists this ribosomal RNA (200 nucleotides) under Salmonella enterica. RNAcentral describes it as "partial 16S ribosomal RNA". It matches the Rfam family "Bacterial small subunit ribosomal RNA", at positions 1 to 208 of the family's 1533-position model. Lineage: Bacteria; Pseudomonadati; Pseudomonadota; Gammaproteobacteria; Enterobacterales; Enterobacteriaceae. The record is from RNAcentral.